RNA transcript from Triticum dicoccoides, 4696 nucleotides. It is a transcript of the gene named protein FAR1-RELATED SEQUENCE 5-like, with no coding region annotated. Lineage: Eukaryota; Viridiplantae; Streptophyta; Magnoliopsida; Poales; Poaceae. The record is from RefSeq and is a predicted model, not a curated record. The transcript has 6 exons.
UCGGCUUCCCGCCUUGUCCGCUCCCCUCCGAUCCCUCUCAGUCGGGAACGACUACAAUAGAAAAAGGUCCACAGGUGCAAAAAUAAAAAAACAAGUCUAGGCCUUCUGAUCCUGGAUGAACGGUCCAGAUUCUAGUGGACGGAUCUGAGUGCACAGGUACUUGGUUCUUUGCAGAAAACUCCCUUGCUUCUACUCGUUUUGCAGGAACAUGGUUGGGCCUUCUCUUCUUCCUAAGAACAGAGCAACGCGAACCCCAAUCCCCAACGUGUAGCCGCCAGCUCCAGCUUGCCGACGGUGGUGGCGGGCCAGAUCCGGUGCCUAGCUGGGCGAUUGCGCUCGGUGGAGGUCCAGAUCCAUCCACGACCGUCUUCUCGACGGCGUUUUGGCUGCCCUGGCGGACCCCCUUUGUCCGAAGCUGAGACCUUGUGCGGGCAAGUUCUCCAAGGUACUCUGCUGCGACCUCCAUAGAAAACUAUCAUUCCAUUCUUUCUCCUACCCCAAUGAGCCCAUUCUUCACACGUUGCCUGCAUGUAACUCCGCCAUCUGGGAACAUCGUAGAAGAAAUCUCAAGUCUUCAUGUAUGCUUGUCUGAAAGGUUGAUACUAAUUUGCAUACUUGAUUCUGUAGCAUUUAUUUAGGAAAUCACUUUUGUUCAACUUUUACUGCAAACUGUGUAUGUCAUCUACUCCUCACAAACAAGAACACAAUAUUAUGGACAAAAUUUUACACUUAAAGAGACUUGUGCUUGGAGUUCAGACUGAAGGUGCCAAGUAUUCUGCAAAUAUUAUGUACCAAAUUUCAGACUUGUGCUUGGACAGUCUGAAAGUACUCUACGGAGUAAAAUUUCAUACUUCCAGACUUGUGCUUCGACGGUCUGGAAGUACUUCUGGUUGUACCAAACUUCAUACUUUCAGACUGACAGUCUGAAAGAUAACAUUCGCAAAGAUGACAAUCUAAAAUUACUUGUGCUUGUACCAAAAUUCAAACUUUCAGACUUGUGCUUGGACAGCCUGAAAGUGCCAAAUUUUAGACUAACUUGGACAGUGUGAAAGCCUGAAAGUGCCGAAUACUUGUGCUUCGACAUGUCAUCUACGACAUACAUAUUAUUAGUACUUCAAACUUCUUUGGCGUAAAGAGUACGCGCAGUACAUAAUAUUAUUUAGAAAUCAUUUUGGUUCAACUCUUACUGCAAACUUCAAGCACAAUUCUGUAGCAUAUCAACUUUAAUUAGGAGGACAUGAUAUUUUGACAUAGAUAUCUGAAAGUACUCUUGCUUUAAAAUAGUGCUUGGAGCAUAUGUUGUAUCCUCUAUGAUAAGAUUAAAAAAUUCUGGAUCUUUGGAAAUGAUAUGAACGGCAAGCAUAUGAACAUUUUGUGAAGGUAUAUAUUUUAGAAAAAAGUCCAUUUUACUACCCUGAAAAAAGUUCGUGGUUCACAUAACCCCCUGAUCUUUUUUUCGGUUCCCUUACCCCCCUAAACAAUCCCAAACCGGGCAAAAACCAUCCUUGGCUGGUUUUGCCUAUACCGGAUGCUGAUGUGGACACAGUCAAAGGCGGUAUUUGGCCUGUGGGUGGGGCCCUCUCAGCUAGACACUCUCACUGACUAUUGGGCCCGGUCAAAUAUGACACAUGGGGCCCACAUCUCGGUUGCACGGAGAUUAACAAGGGACUAAUUUAGCCCUAAUUGCAUCAUUAACAGAAGGGGACCCACAUGUCAAUGUCUCAGACUAACCCUAGUGAUGAAGGGGACCCACAUGUCAAUGUCUCAGAUUAACAGAAGGGGACCUAAACUAAUGAUGCCACAUCAGCGUGGUCCUGCUCCGAGGUCGCCGGCGUGGAGGGCUUCAGCGGCGGCGCAUCGGCGCAGUCGUGCUCAGGCGCAGACGUGCGCAAAGGAGGCCGGGGCGACGGUCAAGGCGGCUGCGGAGGUCGUGGCCUCCCGUUGACCAGAGGCGGCCGACCAGGGGUGUGUGGAUGCGGUAGCAAGGGCCGGCCAUGGAUGUGGAGGUGGCGGCGCUACAACGAUGCAGGCGGCCCGGGGAGGCGAGGGACGACCAGAUCUGAGGGUGGCGCCCCCAUCUGAUCUGGUUCCGACCGGAUCCGGACUCCGGCGGCGGUGUGAAGAUGGUACGACAGCGAGCUUGUGGCGGCGGAGUGACCUGUACCUGAGAGAGAGAUACGAGGGAAGAGAGAGGGAGAGGAAAGAGAAGGGAGGAAGGAGAAGCGGGGCACUCGGGGUGGCGCCUUGGAACUCCGGCAGUCGCCGGCGUUGGUCGGAGGCGGGGCAGGGUUCGGGUGCGAGGGAGCGAUGCUCGGGUAGGUAGGCGACGACAAAACGCGGUCCACCUGAUGGAGGCCCACCCACAGGUCAAAACCACCAUUUGACUGUUGCCACGUCAGCGCCAAGAUGAGUCAAAACCAUCCAGGGAUUGAUUUUGCCCGGUAUAGGAUUGUUUAGGGGGUGAAAGGAACCGAAAUAAAGAUCAGGGGUUAUGUGAACCACCAACAGUAUCUUGGAAGCUUACAGAGAUUUUUAUGUUUUGAGGUGAUUAAGAAGUCAGAUAUUUGGAUUUUGGAGUGAAAUGCAAUUUCUGCUCUGCAUAUGAUGGAUAGAUCAAAGCUCGUCGACUAGUGCUACCUUCAUCCUCCGCUGUUUUGUUGCUGCAUCUCGAACUCAAAAUGGAGGGAAGUAGUGGGACGUCGCCUUUAGGAGAGCCCACCGUUCCAGUAAUCCCAAACUGUGUACCAACACUAUCAGUUGUGGAAUCGGCCAAUAGUGUCCAAAAUCAAGAUUUGAGUGAUGCUACCUCAUUUGCAGAAAUAAAUUCCCCAAUGCUUCUCAUUGAUGAUGCGAGUACACCAAAAAAGAAACAAGCCUUCUCUCAAGAGGGUUCUUUGUAUAAACCCCAGUGUGAUGAGGAAUUGAAGCCAAAAGUGGGGAUGCUAUUUGAUGACAUUGGCUCAGUAAUGGAAUUUUACAAGACAUAUGCACACCAUGUCGGAUUUGGUGUACGUCUUGGACAGCAAAAGAUCGUAGAUAAUGCGCUUCUUGUGUGCAAAAGAAGGAUUUCGGCCCGAGAAAGGUAUGGUUGUUGUUGAUCAUUCCAAGAAAAGGCAAAAGGUAUGAACUUCGUGCAACAUGGAUACCAGCUUACUUUAUGGAAAUUCCCCUAGCUGGUCUUCUCAGGACAACUUCGAUUUCAGAGAGCGCAAACUCAUUUUUUAAGCGUUUCAUUUGUCGCAAGCUUACCUUUGUUGAGUUUUGGCUAAGAUUUGACACUGCUUUGAAGUGUCAGAGGCAGAAUGAGUUAAUUGCUGAUAACACAAGUGAAUACACAACAAGUGAGUUGGUGACACCAUGGGAAAUAGAGAGACAAGGCAGGGCGGUAUUCACCCACGAGAUUUUUGAAUUAUUUCAGGCCCAAGUGCUUGCUGCCAGAGAUGAUUGUGAUGUUCAGGACACGGAAAAUCGUGAGGGGAUUAAAAUCAUGUUUGUGAGUGAUCAAUACAAAAAGAUUAGAGAAGUGUCUUAUGACACAAUAUCCAUGACUGCUAAAUGUUCUUGCAAGCUUUUUGAGUCCAAUGGAAUCAUGUGCCGCCAUAUUAUCCGAGUGUUGAGGGGUGCGAAAAUAAAUGAAUUGCCAAGAAUUUAUGUUCUUAAGCGGUGGGAGAGAAAUUGCAAAAGGGACAUUAUCUUCGACGGGGAAGGGAACAUACUUGAAGAGAAUUUAAUUGACCCGGUUGACAUGGCUAUGAAAAGGAAGAUAGCUCUCGUUAGGAACAAGCUAGAAGAUCUCAUUCGGAAGACUAAAGGUUCAAUGGAAGGAAUUGAAUUCCUGCACACUAGUUUGUGCAACGCUGAGAUGGCUUUAGCCCAUCUCGUACCGGCUGUAGCAUGCAACACACACGAAAAUGAGGAGUCAUUUAUCGGGAGCAUCAUUCCAAAGCACGUUACUAUCCACACACCUACUGAUAUCAAUGCAAGGGGCACUUGCUCUAGAAUAAAGGGACACAGGGAUGCUGUGAGGAGUGGGUCAAGUGAGAAGAAAAGAAGGCCUGGAAUCCAUCAAAAAGUCGCACGCAAAUGUAGCAUUUGCAAGGAAGUGGUGUUCCAUGAUGCAAGGACAUGUUCUAAGAAACAAAUGACACAACAAUAGAGAGGUAGAUGAAAGUUAUGUGAGAGCAUAUCAUCAUGUGAAACAAAUUGCACAACUGAAGAAUCUUCAUAUUUUCAAAAGAAAAAUAACCAUUUUGUGGUUCACUGGUUAUAGGUCUGACUUCUCCGAGCACAAGAAGAUUGAUAAGCAAGAGGCACUAGUACUGGAGGCAAAAGGCAGUAGCUUUUCUGUUGUGUACCAAACAGAGCAAACUUGAUGCAAAUUCUGACGGCAAGCUUGUUCAGCAGACAGCGGUGCUUACUUUAGUCCUGCAUACUUUGUGUUGUCUGUGAUGUACCAAAAAUGGUCCUCUCCAUGUUAUGUACUCCCUCCGUUCGAAAUUACUUGUCGCGAAAAUGAAUGUAUGUAGACGUAUUUUAGUUCUAGAUACAUUCAUUUCCGAGACAAGUAAUUUCGAACGGAGGGAGUAACACUUUAUAUGCAUGUGUGUCGUCUCUAUUCUGUUCUGUUCUGUCUGGGAUCGUGCAAUUUAAAAUGUAUGUGUAGUUAUGGUUUAAAGUGGAUGGAUUAAUUUUCUCA